GUGAGGAAUAUUGGUCAAUGGGCGAGAGCCUGAACCAGCCAAGUCGCGUGAAGGAAGAAGGAUCUAUGGUUCGUAAACUUCUUUUGCAGGGGAAUAAAGUGCAGGACGUGUCCUGUUUUGUAUGUACCCUGAGAAUAAGGAUCGGCUAACUCCGUGCCAGCAGCCGCGGUAAUACGGAGGAUCCGAGCGUUAUCCGGAUUUAUUGGGUUUAAAGGGUGCGUAGGUGGUUUGAUAAGUCAGCGGUGAAAGUUUGCAGCUUAACUGUAAAAAUGCCGUUGAAACUGUCGGACUUGAGUGUAAAUGAGGUAGGCGGAAUGCGUGGUGUAGCGGUGAAAUGCAUAGAUAUCACGCAGAACUCCGAUUGCGAAGGCAGCUUACUAAGCUACAACUGACACUGAAGCACGAAAGCGUGGGGAUCAAACAGGAUUAGAUACCCUUGUAGUCC
This 445-nucleotide ribosomal RNA is filed under the name uncultured bacterium. Its description in RNAcentral is "partial 16S ribosomal RNA". It matches the Rfam family "Bacterial small subunit ribosomal RNA", at positions 354 to 796 of the family's 1533-position model. The record is from RNAcentral.